GGGAAUAUUGGACAAUGGGGGAAACCCUGAUCCAGCAAUGCCGCGUGAGUGAAGAAGGCCUUAGGGUUGUAAAGCUCUUUCGCCCGCGAAGAUAAUGACGGUAGCGGGAGAAGAAGUCCCGGCUAACUCCGUGCCAGCAGCCGCGGUAAUACGGAGGGGGCUAGCGUUGUUCGGAAUUACUGGGCGUAAAGCGUACGUAGGCGGAUGCGCAAGUUGGGGGUGAAAUCCCGGGGCUUAACCUCGGAAUUGCCCUCAAAACUGCACGUCUUGAGACCGAGAGAGGUAAGGGGAAUUCCUAGUGUAGAGGUGAAAUUCGUAGAUAUUAGGAAGAACACCAGUGGCGAAGGCGCCUUACUGGCUCGGUACUGACGCUGAGGUACGAAAGCGUGGGGAGCAAACA
Molecule: ribosomal RNA, 400 nt
Filed under: uncultured bacterium
Lineage: Bacteria
Description: bacterial SSU rRNA
Rfam family: Bacterial small subunit ribosomal RNA
Source: RNAcentral